AAUAAAUAGAGGUUUGUUUGUUUUUUGAAAUGUAAAAUUUACACCCCUUCCUCCUCCACUCGCCGGCUCAGAUAGUGUGUAUACACUCUGAACUGGUAAACAAUCCAAACAAAGGCUUCUCUAUGAGAAGUCUGUGAAUAAACUGCGUCAGUGUAGUGAUGAUGUAAGACAGAGAACGGAGAUAAUCGCCAGGAGUUUCACCUGGAGCUGGAUGUCAGGUAAGUUUAGA
Pelobates cultripes (western spadefoot toad) is the source of this 229-nucleotide non-coding RNA. The record is from the annotation of a GenBank genome assembly. NCBI's taxonomy places the organism in Eukaryota, Metazoa, Chordata, Amphibia, Anura, Pelobatidae.